UUGUCUUCAGGGCAGGGUGUAAUUCCCUACCGGCGGUAUAGCCCGCGAGCCGUAAUUGGCAGAUUCGGUGUAACUCCGAAGCCGACAGUAAAGUCUGGAUGAAAGAAGAUA
This 111-nucleotide non-coding RNA is filed under the name human gut metagenome. RNAcentral's name for it is "FMN riboswitch (RFN element)". It matches the Rfam family "FMN riboswitch aptamer (RFN element)". Rfam says of the family: The RFN element is a highly conserved domain that is found frequently in the 5'-untranslated regions of prokaryotic mRNAs that encode for flavin mononucleotide (FMN) biosynthesis and transport proteins. This element is a metabolite-dependent riboswitch that directly binds FMN in the absence of proteins. The record is from RNAcentral.